GCAGUUGAGGUUAAUACCCUUACCUGUUGAUGUUACCUGAAGAAUAAGCACCGGCUAACUCCGUGCCAGCAGCCGCGGUAAUACGGGGGGUGCAAGCGUUAAUCGGAAUUACUGGGCGUAAAGGGCGCGUAGGCGGUUACUUAAGUUAGAUGUGAAAGCCCCGGGCUU
RNAcentral lists this ribosomal RNA (168 nucleotides) under Wohlfahrtiimonas chitiniclastica. Its description in RNAcentral is "partial 16S ribosomal RNA". It matches the Rfam family "Bacterial small subunit ribosomal RNA", at positions 446 to 610 of the family's 1533-position model. Lineage: Bacteria; Pseudomonadati; Pseudomonadota; Gammaproteobacteria; Cardiobacteriales; Ignatzschineriaceae. The record is from RNAcentral.